RNAcentral lists this ribosomal RNA (187 nucleotides) under uncultured bacterium. RNAcentral's name for it is "partial 16S ribosomal RNA". It matches the Rfam family "Bacterial small subunit ribosomal RNA", at positions 1314 to 1500 of the family's 1533-position model. The record is from RNAcentral.
GACUACAUGAAGCUGGAAUCGCUAGUAAUCGCGGAUCAGAAUGCCGCGGUGAAUACGUUCCCGGGUCUUGUACACACCGCCCGUCACACCAUGGGAGUCGGAAAUGCCCGAAGUCUGUGACCCAACCGCGAGGAGGGAGCAGCCGAAGGCAGGUCGGAUGACUGGGGUGAAGUCGUAACAAGGUAUC